RNAcentral lists this ribosomal RNA (431 nucleotides) under uncultured bacterium. RNAcentral describes it as "partial 16S ribosomal RNA". It matches the Rfam family "Bacterial small subunit ribosomal RNA", at positions 29 to 507 of the family's 1533-position model. The record is from RNAcentral.
AACGAACGCUGGCGGCAGGCUUAACACAUGCAAGUCGAACGCCCCGCAAGGGGAGUGGCCGACGGGUGAGUACCGCGUGGGAACAUACCCUUUCCUGCGGAAUAGCUCCGGGAAACUGGAAUUAAUACCGCAUACGCCCUACGGGGGAAAGAUUUAUCGGGGAAGGAUUGGCCCGCGUUGGAUUAGCUAGUUGGUGGGGUAAUGGCCUACCAAGGCGACGAUCCAUAGCUGGUCUGAGAGGAUGAUCAGCCACAUUGGGACUGAGACACGGCCCAAACUCCUACGGGAGGCAGCAGUGGGGAAUAUUGGACAAUGGGCGCAAGCCUGAUCCAGCCAUGCCGCGUGAGUGAUGAAGGCCUUAGGGUUGUAAAGCUCUUUAACCGAUGAAGAUAAUGACGGUAGUCGGAGAAGAAGCCCCGGCUAACUUCGUG